AUGAGUAAAGUGGCGCACGGGUGAGUAACGCGUAGAUGACGUGCCUUUUAGUGGGGGAUAACAUCGGGAAACCGGUGCUAAUACCGCAUAAGCUAGAUGAUAUUGAAAUAGUUUAGAAAGGGGGCUUCGGCUCUCGCUAAGAGAUCGGUCUGCGUGACAUUAGCUUGAUGGUGGGGUAAUGGCCUACCAUGGUUACGAUGUCUAGCUGGUCUGAGAGGAUGAUCAGUCACACUGGAACUGAGACACGGUCCAGACUCC
This 258-nucleotide ribosomal RNA is filed under the name unidentified marine bacterioplankton. RNAcentral's name for it is "partial 16S ribosomal RNA". It matches the Rfam family "Bacterial small subunit ribosomal RNA", at positions 86 to 339 of the family's 1533-position model. The record is from RNAcentral.